GACAGACACACUUCCGGCUAAGUACGGGCGUAAUAAUGGUGAUUAAAACUGUUCACCGUUCCUUUGAGUUCCUCGUAGAUUCUGGAUAUUAGUCCUUUGUUGGAGGUAUAGAUUGUGAAGAUUUUCUCCAAUUCAUCGCCGUUUUUUAGAGUUUUUCUCACUAAAUAUUGACUAACGGAACCUAGCCCUGUAAUGUUGAUAGUCGGGCGGGUCGGAAGUGGCUGAGGUGGAGUAUCUGCAGGAGAAGAACUGAGGCUCCUAAGUGCAGCAUCUUGUCCAAGAGGUUUCGUCCCAAUGCGUGGGGAACAUCCGGAUUGUGAUGUUUAGCUCUCAGUUUCUAACUUGGGCAUUCUAGCAACUGUAUUUCUCAUUUAAUGUUUUAUGGGCACACAUGCAGAGGAGUUUUCGUCACUGAAAAGCCCGACAACUUCCCCUGCCAACCCAUUGGAAUUAAAAAAACCUCGAUAACCUCUUAAACACAUGGAAAUGGAACCCUGAGCAGAGAUUGUGGUGGGUAUCUGUACAGCCUAAGGACCUUGGGUGGACCUGGCCAGCAAUGGGACUGUUACUGAUGAUGCAUCACAUGGUGUCACUAGGAAAAGCAUAGAUCAGCUGAGGAUCAAUCUUCCCACCAGGUGUGUGUGAAAAUGUAGGUUAUGUGCUUCCUUCAGCCCCAAACCUGUUGUCCACACCAGAAUCUGGAAAUAAUCUCAUUGGAAUUGGGAGAAUGAUUGAUGAUACUCAGUUUCUGGGCACACCGGGACAUUGGGCAUUUGUUGGAGUUUUCCAAUGUCUGUAGCUCCAGGUGUUCAGCAAGAGGCAUGGCACUGUGAAGUCACCAUAGUGUUUACGGAGAAGCACAAUAGGGGGCACCCUCCAUAAAUCUGGUUGAGGGAAAAGCAUUACAAGUUGGAUGAAAUAAGAAUACAAGAAACAGUAUUUGUAGAGUGUAUAUGACUGUGUGUCAAGUGAAGGGAAGACAGAAGAAAUGCUGUAAGUUACUAAGAGGGAGAAAUGACUAAGGACUGCAGUUGUCAUGGCAGGCUUCCUGAAGGUGGUGGAUGUGGGCUGAUGUCUGAAGAAAGUUACCAUUUACUGAGAUCUCACAGUGAGCCAGGCCCUGUUCUAAAUAUUAAUGUGGAUAUUUUGUUUAAGUCUCAUCAUUUUUCAAGAGUGAACACUUCAGUGGUCUGUAGUCCCUCAGUUGCACUGGACACAGUUGAGGCCCUCAGGAGCCACGCGGGGUCAGCGGUGGUGGCAUUGGGCAGAGCAGGUGUAGUGAUUUGGAGAGGGGACAGGCUCAGCAUCAGUAUUUCUGCUGCAUCCCUCUGUAAACAUCUCAUGAAGUGGCUGAUUUGUGAGAAGAGGAUCAUCUACCUCCUGCAUUCAAUCUCAUGAGUAGUUGGGAAGAACAGAUGAAGUGAGGCUGUGAAGCACUGUUGCAAUCUAAGGCACUGCUUAGACAUUGGUUGAGGCGAGAGGGUAAACUGACAGAUGGGAAACUGAGGCCUGGAGAGAUUUCGUCUCCUGCUCAACAUUGUCACAACUUGUCAGAGAUGGAGCCUGAGCAAAAUCCCAGGUCUGCCUGAUUCUGAAGCCUGGACUUUUACAGAACACUGCCUCUGACCAUGGCUAUGCUGGCAUUCAGCAAGUAGGAACAUCAGGAGCACUGAGGCUGUCACUAAUGGUCCUGUCCCAGCCCCUCCACUGUGAAGCUGAGACCUUUCACAGGAACCAAAAAGGGAUUGAUGCUGUGGAGAUGGGACACUGAUACUCGCAUUUGCCUCAGCCAAGUGCCUGCCCCUUUGAUGUAUCCACGCAGUGAGGGUCGGAAUCUGGCCACUGGAGCCUGGAGGAGACGCCUGAGCUUCCACAGCAAAAGAGCAGGUGGACAUAAGCCAUGACAGUAAUGAGGGAGUGCAGAAAUAGCACCAGGAAGACAAAGGCUCUGGAUUCAAGGCUGCGAUUGGUGAACCAAAGCAGAAGAAGCAUCAACUAUACAACAACACAAAUCAUCAGGAACAAAUAAUUUGAUUCAUUGUGGCAGACUUACUAAAUUAAGGAAGUG
Molecule: long non-coding RNA, 2068 nt
Filed under: Homo sapiens (human)
Lineage: Eukaryota; Metazoa; Chordata; Mammalia; Primates; Hominidae
Description: long non-coding RNA NONHSAT178671.1
Source: RNAcentral